This is a small nucleolar RNA of Apodemus sylvaticus (European woodmouse), 132 nucleotides long. RefSeq annotates it as small nucleolar RNA SNORA20. NCBI's taxonomy places the organism in Eukaryota, Metazoa, Chordata, Mammalia, Rodentia, Muridae. The transcript has a single exon. The record is from RefSeq and is a predicted model, not a curated record.
UUUCCUAUUAAUUUGUUGCUCUAGUCUGUCAGUGAUAGGAGCGGUUAUACACAUGGGAUAAAACAAUAUUGGGUCACUGUACAUGGAGAUAAAAUGUUUUGUCCCAGCCGGGCAGUGGUGGCGCAUGCUUAU